This 229-nucleotide long non-coding RNA is filed under the name Pan troglodytes (chimpanzee). RNAcentral describes it as "long non-coding RNA NONPTRT013933". Lineage: Eukaryota; Metazoa; Chordata; Mammalia; Primates; Hominidae. The record is from RNAcentral.
UUAAAAAGUCUUGCCACAAAUGUGUAAUUAGACCAAGGAAAUAAAAAGUGGCUUUAACUAGCUUACGGUAAACAAAAAGAGACUAUGACUGAUUAACCAUAAUCAUACUGAAACUGAUGGCUUUACAUCUUUCACUUGUGAUAUGCUUUUGUGUUCCUUUGUUAGUUUGCUGAGGAUAAUGGCCUCCAGUUCCAUCCAUGUUCCUGCAAAGAACAUGAUCUCCUUCUUG